RNAcentral lists this ribosomal RNA (796 nucleotides) under uncultured fungus. RNAcentral describes it as "eukaryotic LSU rRNA". The stretch from base 205 to 359 matches the Rfam family "5.8S ribosomal RNA". The record is from RNAcentral. Lineage: Eukaryota; Fungi.
GCGCGAAGGAUCAUUAUUGAAAUUACCGGCGAGGGUUGUAGCUGGCCUUUCGGGGCAUGUGCACGCCCGAGCCUUUAAUCCAACAUACACCUGUGAACCCAAUGUAAGGGCCCGUAAAAAGGCCCCUACGUCUUUAUCACCAACUCUGUAUUCAUAGAAUGUAAUCCAUAUCUUCGCCUUAACAAGCGUUGGUAAAACUUAUACAACUUUCAACAACGGAUCUCUUGGCUCUCGCAUCGAUGAAGAACGCAGCGAAAUGCGAUAAGUAAUGUGAAUUGCAGAUUUUCAGUGAAUCAUCGAAUCUUUGAACGCACCUUGCGCCCCUUGGUAUUCCGAGGGGCAUGCCUGUUUGAGUGUCAUUAAAUUCUCAACUCCGAUUUGAUUUGUUUCUUAUCGGAGCUUGGACUUUGGAGCGUGCUGGCGUAAGGUCGGCUCCUCUUAAAUGUAUCAGCGGAAUCUAACCUUUGGAUUCUGGACAUCGGUGUGAUAAUAAAAGUUGCGCCGUCGUUCUACUUCAAAGUCCGCUUACAAUGGUCUUUUGACAAACUCUUAUCAAGUUUGACCUCAAAUCAGGUAGGACUACCCGCUGAACUUAAGCAUAUCAAUAAGCGGAGGAAAAGAAACUAACAAGGAUUUCCCCUAGUAUCUGCGAGUGAAGCGGGAAAAGCUCAUAUUUUAAAUCUGGCGGUCUCCGGCCGUCCGAGUUGUAAUCUGGAGAAGCGUUUAUCCGCGCCGACCGUGUUAUAAGUCUUCUGGAAGGGAGCGUCGUAGAGGUGAGAAUCCCGUUCUUUGACAC